RNAcentral lists this ribosomal RNA (439 nucleotides) under uncultured bacterium. RNAcentral describes it as "partial 16S ribosomal RNA". It matches the Rfam family "Bacterial small subunit ribosomal RNA", at positions 339 to 795 of the family's 1533-position model. The record is from RNAcentral.
CUACGGGUCGCUGCAGUGAGGAAUAUUGCACAAUGGGGGGAACCCUGAUGCAGCAACGCCGCGUGGAGGAUGACGCAUUUCGGUGUGUAAACUCCUUUUAUAUGUCAAGAAAAUGACGGUAGCAUAUGAAUAAGCACCGGCUAACUCCGUGCCAGCAGCCGCGGUAAUACGAAGGGUGCAAGCGUUACUCGGAAUCACUGGGCGUAAAGGACGCGUAGGCGGGUUGGAAAGUCAGGUGUGAAAUCCUACAGCUUAACUGUAGAACUGCACUUGAAACUCUCAAUCUAGAGUAUGGGAGGGGCAGAUGGAAUUAGUGGUGUAGGGGUAAAAUCCGUAGAUAUCACUAGGAAUACCUAAAGCGAAGGCGAUCUGCUGGAACAUUACUGACGCUAAGGCGUGAAAGCGUGGGGAGCAAACAGGAUUAGAUACCCUGGUAGUC